RNAcentral lists this ribosomal RNA (434 nucleotides) under uncultured Ruminococcus sp. RNAcentral's name for it is "partial 16S ribosomal RNA". It matches the Rfam family "Bacterial small subunit ribosomal RNA", at positions 341 to 792 of the family's 1533-position model. Lineage: Bacteria; Bacillati; Bacillota; Clostridia; Eubacteriales; Oscillospiraceae. The record is from RNAcentral.
ACGGAAGGCAGCAGUGGGGAAUACUGCACAAUGGGCGCAAGCCUGAUGUAGCGAUGCCGCGUGAGGGAAGAAGGUUUUCGGAUUGUAAACCUCUGUCAACAGGGACGAUAAUGACGGUACCUUAGGAGGAAGCUCCGGCUAACUACGUGCCAGCAGCCGCGGUAAUACGUAGGGAGCGAGCGUUGUCCGGAAUUACUGGGUGUAAAGGGAGCGUAGGCGGGAUGGCAAGUCAGAUGUGAAAACUAUGGGCUCAACCCAUAGACUGCAUUUGAAACUGUUGUUCUUGAGUGAAGUAGAGGUAAGCGGAAUUCCUAGUGUAGCGGUGAAAUGCGUAGAUAUUAGGAGGAACAUCGGUGGCGAAGGCGGCUUACUGGGCUUUUACUGACGCUGAGGCUCGAAAGCGUGGGGAGCAAACAGGAUUAGAUACCCUGGUA